RNAcentral lists this ribosomal RNA (497 nucleotides) under uncultured bacterium. RNAcentral describes it as "partial 16S ribosomal RNA". It matches the Rfam family "Bacterial small subunit ribosomal RNA", at positions 28 to 507 of the family's 1533-position model. The record is from RNAcentral.
GAUGAACGCUGGCGGCGUGCCUAAUACAUGCAAGUCGAGCGAACGGACGAGAAGCUUGCUUCUCUGAUGUUAGCGGCGGACGGGUGAGUAACACGUGGAUAACCUACCUAUAAGACUGGGAUAACUUCGGGAAACCGGAGCUAAUACCGGAUAAUAUUUUGAACCGCAUGGUUCAAAAGUGAAAGACGGUCUUGCUGUCACUUAUAGAUGGAUCCGCGCUGCAUUAGCUAGUUGGUAAGGUAACGGCUUACCAAGGCAACGAUGCAUAGCCGACCUGAGAGUGUGAUCGGCCACACUGGAACUGAGACACGGUCCAGACUCCUACGGGAGGCAGCAGUAGGGAAUCUUCCGCAAUGGGCGAAAGCCUGACGGAGCAACGCCGCGUGAGUGAUGAAGGUCUUCGGAUCGUAAAACUCUGUUAUUAUGGAAGAACAUAUGUGUAAGUAACUGUGCACAUCUUGACGGUACCUAAUCAGAAAGCCACGGCUAACUACGUG